RNAcentral lists this long non-coding RNA (520 nucleotides) under Zostera marina. RNAcentral describes it as "long non-coding RNA (ZMAR_LNC000422)". Lineage: Eukaryota; Viridiplantae; Streptophyta; Magnoliopsida; Alismatales; Zosteraceae. The record is from RNAcentral.
CCAUAAAAUACACUUAAUUAUAAUUUUAUAUAAAAUGUCUAGAAACAAAACAAGUUGAUUUUUUUAAAAUUCAAACGUCAGGUAAAACUCAUUUAAAAUGGGUGCACAUCAGAUGUGCCAAAAAUUGGGUGUCAAAUGCACCAUACAACGUAAUACGGUAUGUGACAUACAACUCGAUAAUACUGUAACAUACAAAGUAUUGAUGAAUACAACGUCGUCGUACAAAGUGAAAUUGUUGAUGAAUAAUGAAAUAUGAGGCGGACGAUUAGGAUCUAACGGCUGAUACGGAGCUACCGGAGAUUGGAGACGUAACCGAAGAUGUCCUGGAGAACCGCUGACGUGCGGAAGAGGUAGAAUCCGGCGACCUAAUUUCAUAUUUAAGAGAGGGCGAGGGUUGGAGUCCGUUGGAGGAAGGAGAACCGGGUUUGAACAACCCUAGAGAGAAGUACUUGGGAGCUAGUUCAGAGGUCUCCGGAGCAAAAUGUCCUUAGCUGCAAAUAAUGGGUCUUCCGCAAUAAAC